AUAAACGUCUGUGUUGUUUUAACGUUCCUUUUUUAGAGGUAACUGGCAAGUUUUAUUACAGGUCCAAUAAAAAGUAUUUAUGCGUGAUGCAUACAACAUUUUAUUACUUCUAUAAACUAUCAUUCAAUAGGAUUACAGUAUAGAAAUUGGUUUCAUGUAAAAUUAUUUUGAAUUAAACAUGUACAAUAACUUAUGAAAGUAAGUUAAUCACGACGACAUUUAUGAUAACUGAAAAGAUCAUGAAACCAGGUAAAAUUUUCACGAAAACAAAAAUGUAUCAUUAAGUUACUGAAGUAAAAUUCAAUUCUGUUUUAAAGCAGAUAUUAUUUACAUUGCAAAAACAUUCUUGUACACAAAAAUACUCCGGACAUAUUUUCCACCUUUAAUUUGAUCAAGGCGGACCUUGAAUUUAUUUACUAAAAUUUAUUAAAUAAAAUAUAUACAAAAACUAUAUUUUACCCUUUUGUACUGUAACUGAGUAGAAAAAUAGCGACAGUUUGCAUUUGUGAUCCAAUGGCCGAUAGAAAAGCUAUCUCUUUUAAUGUUUAAUUGACAUAAUUGGCAUAAUUGACACUGAUAUUUAAAUGUAUAUGAAAUAAGGUGAGAACAACUACAUAAGAAGAAAUGCGCAUCUCUUUCUUAUUAGAACAGAAAUAUUAAUUGCAAUAUUUAAUUGCAUUUCUUAUAUUGUGAAUUUGUGAUAUUAGCACAAAAUGAAUUACUGGCGAAGUAAAUUACAUUAAAUGAUUAAAUCAUUACUUUAACCUUUUGAUCACAAUACCGCAUGUUCACGCGGCAUAAUAAUAUCGUCUGCUUAUGACGCUACAACAACAACUUCGCGCUGAAGUUAAUUUUUCUUCCAAAUUAGUGGAAAUAAACCGUCUGAGAACGAAUCAAAUUUUUAUUUCACAAAAAUGAAAUAAAUAUCAUUCAAAAGAUAAAUUCAAUGAGAGUAGGAAAUGUUUUGCACCUAAGCUUUCAUAUCAAUGGUUUUAUACAAAAAAUGUUUUGAAGAAACGCAUGUAUGAGAUUUUUGCACAUUUCAUAUGGAAAAA
Mercenaria mercenaria is the source of this 1055-nucleotide long non-coding RNA. RefSeq lists it as uncharacterized. The transcript has 3 exons. The record is from RefSeq and is a predicted model, not a curated record. NCBI's taxonomy places the organism in Eukaryota, Metazoa, Mollusca, Bivalvia, Venerida, Veneridae.